AUUGAACGCUGGCGGCAGGCUUAACACAUGCAAGUCGAGCGGGGGAAGGUAGCUUGCUACUGGACCUAGCGGCGGACGGGUGAGUAAUGCUUAGGAAUCUGCCUAUUAGUGGGGGACAACAUCUCGAAAGGGAUGCUAAUACCGCAUACGUCCUACGGGAGAAAGCAGGGGAUCUUCGGACCUUGCGCUAAUAGAUGAGCCUAAGUCGGAUUAGCUAGUGGGUGGGGUAAAGGCCUACCAAGGCGACGAUCUGUAGCGGGUCUGAGAGGAUGAUCCGCCACACUGGGACUGAGACACCGCCCAGACUCCUACGGGAGGCAGCAGUGGGGAAUAUUGGACAAUGGGGGGAACCCUGAUCCAGCCAGGCCGCGUGUGGGAAGAAGGCCUUAUGGUUGUAAAGCACUUUAAGCGAGGAGGAGGCUACUUUAGUUAAUACCUAGAGAUAGUGGACGUUACUCGCAGAAUAAGCACCGGCUAACUCUGUGCCAGCCGCCGCAGUAA
RNAcentral lists this ribosomal RNA (501 nucleotides) under uncultured bacterium. RNAcentral's name for it is "partial 16S ribosomal RNA". It matches the Rfam family "Bacterial small subunit ribosomal RNA", at positions 30 to 523 of the family's 1533-position model. The record is from RNAcentral.